RNAcentral lists this unclassified non-coding RNA (263 nucleotides) under plant metagenome. Its description in RNAcentral is "partial contains small subunit ribosomal RNA, internal transcribed spacer 1, and 5.8S ribosomal RNA". The record is from RNAcentral.
UUUCCGUAGGUGAACCUGCGGAAGGAUCAUUAUUGUAUAACCGAGGUGCGAGGGCUGUCGCUGACCCGACAGGUCGCGCACGCCCGAGUGCCCUCACACACAUCCAUCUCACCCCUAUGUGCACCACCGCGUGGGUCCCCCUUUGGCUUGUUCGGAGGGGGGCUUACGUUUUCACACAAACUUUGUAUGCAGUGUAGAAUGUAUUUUUUGUUUUUGCGAUCACGCAAUCAAUACAACUUUCAACAACGGAUCUCUUGGCUCUC